UGUGUGUGUGUGUGUGUGUGUGUAUAUAUAUAUAUAUAUACACACACAUACAUACAUAUAUAUAUAUAUAUAUAUACGCACACACACACACACAUA
RNAcentral lists this microRNA precursor (96 nucleotides) under Podarcis lilfordi (Lilford's wall lizard). Lineage: Eukaryota; Metazoa; Chordata; Lepidosauria; Squamata; Lacertidae. The record is from RNAcentral.